RNAcentral lists this ribosomal RNA (302 nucleotides) under uncultured bacterium. RNAcentral's name for it is "partial 16S ribosomal RNA". It matches the Rfam family "Bacterial small subunit ribosomal RNA", at positions 508 to 807 of the family's 1533-position model. The record is from RNAcentral.
GCAGUAGCCGCGGUAAUACGGAGGGUGCAAGCGUUAAUCGGAAUUACUGGGCGUAAAGCGCACGCAGGCGGUUUGUUAAGUCAGAUGUGAAAUCCCCGAGCUUAACUUGGGAACUGCAUUUGAAACUGGCAAGCUAGAGUCUUGUAGAGGGGGGUAGAAUUCCAGGUGUAGCGGUGAAAUGCGUAGAGAUCUGGAGGAAUACCGGUGGCGAAGGCGGCCCCCUGGACAAAGACUGACGCUCAGGUGCGAAAGCGUGGGGAGCAAACAGGAUUAGAUACCCCAGUAGUCCCUGUCUCUUAUAC